This 253-nucleotide ribosomal RNA is filed under the name uncultured bacterium. Its description in RNAcentral is "partial 16S ribosomal RNA". It matches the Rfam family "Bacterial small subunit ribosomal RNA", at positions 524 to 776 of the family's 1533-position model. The record is from RNAcentral.
UACGUAGGUGGCAAGCGUUAUCCGGAUUUAUUGGGCGUAAAGGGAACGCAGGCGGUCUUUUAAGUCUGAUGUGAAAGCCUUCGGCUUAACCGGAGUAGUGCAUUGGAAACUGGGAGACUUGAGUGCAGAAGAGGAGAGUGGAACUCCAUGUGUAGCGGUGAAAUGCGUAGAUAUAUGGAAGGACACCAGUGGCGAAAGCGGCUCUCUGGUCUGUAACUGACGCUGAGGUUCGAAAGCGUGGGUAGCAAAUAGG